GCCCUUCCAGGAUCGCCUCUGGAGAACAGCUCGUAUUCUGCCGGCUUCGGAGACGGAGGGAAAACAGCCUGUCAGAGACCCAUCCUGUUCUCUGUUUGCUCAGGAGGUGGUGACUGGAUGAUACUGCAACAGGA
RNAcentral lists this small nucleolar RNA (134 nucleotides) under Echinops telfairi (small Madagascar hedgehog). The record is from RNAcentral. Lineage: Eukaryota; Metazoa; Chordata; Mammalia; Afrosoricida; Tenrecidae.